AAUCAACGCUGGCGGCGUGCCUAACACAUGCAAGUCGCACGAGAAAGGGACUUCGGUCCUGAGUACAGUGGCGCACGGGUGAGUAACACGUGAAUAAUCUACCUCCGAGUGGGGAAUAACUGAGAGAAAUCUUAGCUAAUACCGCAUAACACUUACGAGUCAAAGCAGCAAUGCGCUUGGAGAGGAGUUCGCGGCAGAUUAGUUAGUUGGCAGGGUAANGGCCUACCAAGACGAUGAUCUGUAUCCGGCCUGAGAGGGCGCACGGACACACUGGAACUGAAACACGGUCCAGACUCCUACGGGAGGCAGCAGUGGGGAAUUUUGCGCAAUGGGGGAAACCCUGACGCAGCAACGCCGCGUGGAGGAUGAAAUCCCUUGGGAUGUAAACUCCUUUCGAUCGGGAAGAUAAUGACGGUACCGAGAGAAGAAGCCCCGG
Molecule: ribosomal RNA, 436 nt
Filed under: uncultured bacterium
Lineage: Bacteria
Description: bacterial SSU rRNA
Rfam family: Bacterial small subunit ribosomal RNA
Source: RNAcentral